This 800-nucleotide long non-coding RNA is filed under the name Helianthus annuus (common sunflower). The record is from RNAcentral. Lineage: Eukaryota; Viridiplantae; Streptophyta; Magnoliopsida; Asterales; Asteraceae.
AUGAUUCAUGUCGAUUUACCAAUGAUUUAACACGAAAACAAUAACUAUAAACACCUUCACUUUUACUGGGCUGGUACCAUAACAUGUAAGCCCAACAAACUUGCAAAAGUUGGACCAUCAUGCAAAGCUCCGAACCUGUAUAAACCAUAAGUCCAUAAAUAAAGGGAAAGAGGUUUGUUGAAGGAAUAGGAAAAAAAUUACGACAGAGUAAACUCGAUCUUCUAGAUCGUCGUUCUUCGAGCGUUUCAACCGGGACGAAGAUCGAUUGAAGGGGAACGCAGGAUGUUGAUGAUGACGUUUUGGGGUUAGCCAAAAUUAAUUUGUGUAAUUUAACACAAAUCUAUGGAAGAUAAUUGAAGAAAUUGACGAUUUUGGGAGCCCUUUUUUUAUGUCAUUGGUGAUAUUGAUUACGGUUGAAGCGGAGGCACGUUUAAAAAUUGUGAAUGUGAAUUACAUAUGUUUGAUAAAGGCAGGUUGGUUGGGUAUAUAAUUAUGUUGUUUUUUAAGUUUACUGAGGAGAAACGUCUAUCCAUUGGAGAAGAGAUGUACCAGUUCAGGAGAAAGGUGUAUCCAUUCGAGGAAAAGAUGUACCGGUUUGGAUGAGGUGCAUGUAAUGGAUAUUAGAAUUCUAGAGAUUUUUUUUAAAACGUCGGUUGAAUGUAGGAGGUGCCCGUAUUUAAUAUAAAUAUAAAUUGAAAGGGUGUGAGUAAAAUAAACUAAAGGAUGUAACUUUUAAACAAAAUGAAACAUAACCCAAGUUACUAAUUGUAUAAGGGUAUAAUGUUGCAAGUUAUGUUCUU